Molecule: long non-coding RNA, 1976 nt
Filed under: Notechis scutatus (mainland tiger snake)
Lineage: Eukaryota; Metazoa; Chordata; Lepidosauria; Squamata; Elapidae
Description: lncRNA (ENSNSUG00000009806.1)
Source: RNAcentral
AGCUAGGGGGUCCUGUGGCCGGAGGGGACCGGGCUGCCCCUCCCCACAUCCGGAGGAACCGGUGAGUGGUAGACUGUGCAAGGCAUUGUGGGAAAGGGGUAACUUCCCUCCCCCCUUCUACUUUUGGCUCGCGGGACCUCUUUUUUUUUUCCCCUCCACAGCCGCGGUGCAUGAUGGGAUUGUGGACUCCGCCGCGGUCCGCUAGCCGCAGAGCAUGCUGGGAAACGAAGGCUGGGGCCGGUUUAGCGCUUAGCUUGGCCUGGCGGGGGCGGUGGGGGGGCAGGCCUGACUAUUAUGGGAUGGGACCCCGGAAAAAGAGGAGGGGGUGGGUGGGGGGCUCCCCGCCAUCUCUCUCUCUCUCGUGUCCCGCUUCUGCUCCUCUUGCAGGUUGGGCCGCAGGCUUGUUUUGAGGGGUGGUGAUGUCCGAAGUACCCAAGCCGGUGGAAGUGGGCAGCUCUGAGGACAUUGGCUUUGAGGAGGAGGAUGGGACCUCGACUGGUAUUUCAGCCAUGCAGGAGGAAGAGGAAGAAUCGGAAGCAACCUCUGUAUCUUCUGGAGACAGUAGCCCUGCGACCCCAUCUGCCAAUGGCUAUCCAGGUCUGCAGAACAAAGAACCCAAACUGGCCACUGCUGGGGAACAGGUGGAUGAAGUUGGAGAGGGAGGGCAGGAUCGCCUCAGCUCCUCCCAGGCUCCUAGCCCCGAAUGGCAUGAAUGCCCCGAAUGCGGCCGUGGCUUCGGCACCUCUCGGGCCCUGAAGGUGCACCGUAGCUACCACGUGGGGCGCAAAAGGCCGCACAGUGGUUCCUCUUCAGCCAAGCCCUCCCCUCCGCUGACCUUGCUGGGAAACCCUGACAGCCAGGAAGGGCGGACGGGCCCGACUCCCGGCCGGGGCAGAGCCUUUCACUACAUCUGUGCCGAGUGCGGCGUGGGCUUCACCUCUCCCGCCACGCUGGAGGGCCAUCGCUGCGAACACAGUUGGCGCAGAAGCCCCCCAGCCCCUCCUCCUCGUAACAAGGUCGCUCCCUCUCUUGCUCCCAGGGAGGCUAACGGGGACCAGGACACAGACGGGGCUGACGGACCAUACCACUGCACCGAGUGCCCAGGCGAAUUUGGCUUGGUAUCCGAACUUCACGAGCACUACAUGCUCCAUGCUCGCGGAGAGCUGUAGAUCGGUCUUCAGCCCUCCCCCUUUCCCCCCGCCCCCCCCCAGCCCGCUUCCAAAUAUUUCCCUGUUGUGAUAGGUGGCCCCUGCUAAGGGAUCUGUCCUGCUAGGAUACUCAACAAGUGGAGAAAAAACAACAACCCUCCUUUACUUUUAGUUCCUUUAAAAAAAAAAAAAAAAAGAUACAUUUCCGUAUUUCUGAAAUGAAUUUAGCUUUGGAACGAGGAGACCGAGAGGCAGCACAUCACUUUUGUAUCCUGCCUCCCUGGCGGCGAGCGCAGUGACUUCAAAAACAACAACCACAACCACAAACCUCAGCUCAUUUGCAGGAAGUGAAGUUUCCCCUUUUUCCUUGCCCUUCAGUGAUCUGGAUCUGGCGGGCCCUAAAAUAUUCUAACCUCCCCCCCCCCAAAGGAGAUCCUGUUCAUGGACUUUUGUAACCGUAGCACUAGCAGGAAGUCCGUUUCAUUAACAGAACCAGAAUUAUCUUCUUCCAGGCCCAUCCCAAAGCGGGGGGAGACGGGGCCAGGAGAUAGUAAGAGACGAAUUGGAAUCGCUUGUCCUUGAGAUCCUGCUUCCCCAGACAGUCCCUUCUCAAGUCAGGCUCCCAUUUCCAUGGUCGUCAUGUUGGCAUCUGGGUGGCCCAUGCCGAAGUACAGAAGCUGUAUUCCGUUACGUGUGUGUGUGCGUGUGUGCGUGUUUGGCUUCUAGGGAAACAGCUCCGGGGAAUGGCCCCUGAUCCGCCUAAACUCAUGAAUUCUAACCAUAUCCCUUCCCAGGAGGAGCUGGAAAUAACGGUUUAAUAAAAACGAU